AUUGAACGCUGGCGGCAUGCUUUACACAUGCAAGUCGAACGGUAACAGGCCUUCGGGUGCUGACGAGUGGCGAACGGGUGAGUAAUGCAUCGGAACGUGCCCAGGGGUGGGGGAUAACGCAGCGAAAGCUGUGCUAAUACCGCAUGUGAUCUGAGGAUGAAAGCGGGGGACCAGGCAGCAAUGUUUGGCCUCGCGCCUUUGGAGCGGCCUAUGUCAGAUUAGGUAGUUGGUGGGGUAAAGGCCUACCAAGCCGACGAUCUGUAGCUGGUCUGAGAGGACGACCAGCCACACUGGGACUGAGACACGGCCCAGACUCCUACGGGAGGCAGCAGUGGGGAAUUUUGGACAAUGGGCGCAAGCCUGAUCCAGCAAUGCCGCGUGCGGGAAGAAGGCCUUCGGGUUGUAAACCGCUUUUGUACGGAACGAAGAGGCUCUGGCUAAUACCUGGGGCUGAUGACGGUACCGUAAGAAUAAGCACCGGCUAACUACGUG
RNAcentral lists this ribosomal RNA (492 nucleotides) under uncultured bacterium. RNAcentral describes it as "partial 16S ribosomal RNA". It matches the Rfam family "Bacterial small subunit ribosomal RNA", at positions 30 to 507 of the family's 1533-position model. The record is from RNAcentral.